RNAcentral lists this ribosomal RNA (435 nucleotides) under uncultured bacterium. RNAcentral's name for it is "bacterial SSU rRNA". It matches the Rfam family "Bacterial small subunit ribosomal RNA", at positions 352 to 782 of the family's 1533-position model. The record is from RNAcentral.
CAGUCGAGAAUCUUCGGCAAUGGGCGAAAGCCUGACCGAGCGACGCCGCGUGUGGGAUGAAGGCCCUUGGGUUGUAAACCACUGUCAGAGGGGAUGAAAUGCACGAGAGCAAUCUCUUGUGUUUGACAUAGCCUCAGAGGAAGCACGGGCUAAGUUCGUGCCAGCAGCCGCGGUAAGACGAACUGUGCAAACGUUAUUCGGAAUCACUGGGCUUAAAGGGUGCGUAGGCGGUCUUUUAAGUAGGGUGUGAAAGCCUCUGGCUCAACCAGAGAACUGCGCCCUAAACUAGAAGGCUUGAGUGAGGUAGGGGUGUGUGGAACUUCCAGUGGAGCGGUGAAAUGUGUUGAUAUUGGAAGGAACGCCGGUGGCGAAAGCGACACACUGGACCUUGUCUGACGCUGAGGCACGAAAGCCAGGGGAGCAAACGGGAUUAGA